Molecule: unclassified non-coding RNA, 331 nt
Filed under: soil metagenome
Description: partial contains 5.8S ribosomal RNA, internal transcribed spacer 2, and large subunit ribosomal RNA
Rfam family: 5.8S ribosomal RNA (bases 1-120)
Source: RNAcentral
GAUGAAGAACGUAGCGAAAUGCGAUAAGUAAUGUGAAUUGCAGAAUUCAGUGAAUCAUCGAAUCUUUGAACGCACAUUGCGCCCCCUGGUAUUCCGGGGGGCAUGCCUGUUCGAGCGUCAUUUCACCACUCAAGCCUCGCUUGGUAUCGGGCAACGCGGUCCGCCGCGUGCCUCAAAUCGACCGGCUGGGUCUUCUGUCCCCUAAGCGUUGUGGAAACUAUUCGCUAAAGGGUGUUCGGGAGGCUACGCCGUAAAACAACCCCAUUUCUAAGGUUGACCUCGGAUCAGGUAGGGAUACCCGCUGAACUUAAGCAUAUCAAUAAGCGGAGGA